This 292-nucleotide ribosomal RNA is filed under the name uncultured bacterium. RNAcentral's name for it is "partial 16S ribosomal RNA". It matches the Rfam family "Bacterial small subunit ribosomal RNA", at positions 505 to 796 of the family's 1533-position model. The record is from RNAcentral.
GUGCCAGCAGCCGCGGUAAUACGUAGGCAGCAAGCGUUGUUCGGAGUUACUGGGCGUAAAGGGUGCGUAGGCGGUUCCCUAAGUUUGGUGUGAAAUCUCCCGGCUUAACUGGGAGGGUGCGCCGAAAACUGGGGAGCUAGAGUGUGGGAGAGGUGAGUGGAAUUCCUGGUGUAGCGGUGAAAUGCGUAGAUAUCAGGAGGAACACCGGUGGUGUAGACGGCUCACUGGACCAUUACUGACGCUGAGGCACGAAAGCGUGGGUAGCAAACAGGAUUAGAUACCCUUGUAGUCC